AUUGCUUCUUGGCCUUUUGGCUAAGAUCAAGUGUAGAAUUUGUGGGAAAUUACUGAAAAUGUUAUAAAGUACAUGCAGUACAACACCU
Molecule: small nuclear RNA, 88 nt
Filed under: Moschus moschiferus (Siberian musk deer)
Lineage: Eukaryota; Metazoa; Chordata; Mammalia; Artiodactyla; Moschidae
Description: U2 spliceosomal RNA (ENSMMSG00000009340.1)
Rfam family: U2 spliceosomal RNA
About the family: U2 is a small nuclear RNA (snRNA) component of the spliceosome (involved in pre-mRNA splicing). Complementary binding between U2 snRNA (in an area lying towards the 5' end but 3' to hairpin I) and the branchpoint sequence (BPS) of the intron results the bulging out of an unpaired adenosine, on the BPS, which initiates a nucleophilic attack at the intronic 5' splice site, thus starting the first of two transesterification reactions that mediate splicing.
Source: Rfam by way of RNAcentral